Molecule: non-coding RNA, 30 nt
Filed under: Mus musculus (house mouse)
Lineage: Eukaryota; Metazoa; Chordata; Mammalia; Rodentia; Muridae
Source: RNAcentral
UUGGUUGGGCUCCUCUUGGUGAGGACUGAG